Molecule: ribosomal RNA, 107 nt
Filed under: Urocitellus parryii (Arctic ground squirrel)
Lineage: Eukaryota; Metazoa; Chordata; Mammalia; Rodentia; Sciuridae
Source: RNAcentral
GUCUAUGGCCAUACCACCCUGAAAGUAUCCGAUCUUGUCUGAUCUGGGAAGCUAAGCAGGGUCGGGCCUGGUUAAUACUUGGAUGGGAGAAAGCAAGCCUACCAACC